GACGAACGCUGGCGGCGUGCUUAACACAUGCAAGUCGAACGGAAAGGCCUUUUCGGAGGUACUCGAGUGGCGAACGGGUGAGUAACACGUGGGUGAUCUGCCCUGCACUCUGGGAUAAGCCUGGGAAACUGGGUCUAAUACCGGAUAGGACCGCACUUUAGUGUGUGUGGUGGAAAGUUUUUUCGGUGUAGGAUGAGCCCGCGGCCUAUCAGCUUGUUGGUGGGGUAAUGGCCUACCAAGGCGGCGACGGGUAGCCGGACUGAGAGGUUGGUCGGCCACAUUGGGACUGAGAUACGGCCCAGACUCCUACGGGAGGCAGCAGGGGGGAAGAUUGCACAAUGGGCGCAAGCCUGAUGCAGCGACGCCGCGUGGGGGAGGACGGCCUUCGGGUUGUAAACUCCUUUCGCCAGGGACGAAGCGUUUUGUGACGGUACCUGGAGAAGAAGCACCGGCUAACUACGUG
RNAcentral lists this ribosomal RNA (463 nucleotides) under uncultured bacterium. RNAcentral describes it as "partial 16S ribosomal RNA". It matches the Rfam family "Bacterial small subunit ribosomal RNA", at positions 28 to 507 of the family's 1533-position model. The record is from RNAcentral.